CUUCUUCUUCUUUGAGCAUGAUUCAUUCAAACUUUUUGUUGGUGUGUAAUGUCCAGCAAGCAACUCGAUUUCUUUGGUGUGUAAUAUAUAGAGGAUCGACGGUGAAUCAGAAGCCAUUUUGCAACUUCUGUGUGACCUUUCAACCCCCAUCCUUUGUUCAGUGAGCUUCACAGCCAUUAAGGCAAAGCUGAUCCUUUUUUUACUAGCCUUACUAAGUGUCGAUGUUUGGGAAGACCUCCUCAAGAACCAAUCUGGUGGAAACCAAGGAGUCGCAAAGGCAAGUGAAUGACCUUAUGGAGAAAGGGCAUAUCAGAGGGAGCAUGAGCCCUUGUGUCCUUUUCGUGUUGUUGGUACUUAAGAAAGACAGUAGCUGGCGAAUGUACAUUGAUUGUAGAGGAAUCAACAAUAUCACAGUUAUGUACCGACAUCCCAUUCCUAGAUUACAUGAUAUGCUUAAUGAAUUGCAUGAUUCUAGCAUCUUUCCUAAAAUUGAUCUUAAGAGUGGAUAUCAUCAGAUUACAAUGAAAGUAAGGGAUGAGUGGAAAACAACAUUUAAGACGAAGCAUAGUCUUUACAAGUGUUAGUUAAGCCAUUUGUACUAACAAAUGCACAUAGUACGUUCAUGAGGUUAAUGAAACAUGUACUUAGAGAUUUUAUAGUUGUUUUGUAGUAGUCUACUUUGAUGACAUUCUGAUUUAUAUCAAGAACCUAGAAAAGCAUGUUAGUCACUUGAAAUAUGUUCUAGAUGUGCUUAGGAAAGAAAAGCUAUUUGCUAAUUUUUAAAAUGCACGUUUUGUACAAACAAUUUUGUCUUCCUAGGUUUUUUGUAAGUGCGAAUGGAAUCAAGGUCGACAAAGAAAAGGUCAAGGCUAUUAAAGAUUGGCCGAGUCCCAAACAGUUUGGUGAGGUGAGGAGCUUCCACGGCCUAGUCGGGUUUUAUAGACACUUUGUUAAAGAUUUUAGUACCCUGGUUGCACCUCUAACUGAAGUUGUCAAGAAAGACAUGAGAUUCGAUUAGGGAGAAGGACAAGAAGAGGUGUUUCAAACCUUGAAAAAUAAGCUAAUCAACGCACCUCUAUCAGUCUUACCUGAUUUUUUGAAAACCUUUGAAAUAGAGUGUGAUGCAUCUGCUAUAGGAAUUGGAUCUGUUUUGAUGAAGGAUAAUAAGCCCAUUGCAUACUUUAAUGAAAAACGCGGAGGAGCUACUCUAAACUACCUAAUGUAUGACAAGGAGCUGUAUGCUUUAGUCCGGGCUUUGCAACAUGGCAACAUUACUUAUGGUUUAAGGAGUUUUUCAUUCAUACUGAUCAUGAGUCUCUCAAGCAUCUAAAAGGACAACAAAAUCUCAUCAAAAAACAUGCCAGGUGGGUCAAAUUCACUGAGACAUUUCCCAAUGUCAUCAAGUAUAAACAAGGUAAGGAAAAUGUAGUUGUUGAUGCAUUUUCUUAUAGGUAGGCCUUGCUCUCUAUUCUUGAUGCUAAGUUUUCGGUUUUGAACAGCGUAAACAAAUAUAUGUAUCUGAUUCUGACUUUAAAGAUGUAUAUUAAUUUUAUGAAAAGUUUGCUAAGGAUAAUAAUAUGGAUCUCUCUUUUAUUACAAUCGCUUGUGCAUGCCUUAUCGUUCUAAUCGAAACUUGCUUGUUAGAGAAGCUCAAAGGGGUGAACUAAUGAGACACCUUGGAAUUAUUAAGACCCUUAAAGUAAUUCAAGAUCACUUCCUGGCCACAGAUGAAGAGGCACAUGGAGAGGAUAUGUCAAAGAUGUGCUACAUGCAAACAUGCAAAGUCUAAAGUUCAACCUCACAGUUUGUAUACUCUAUUACCUAUUCCUAAUCAUCCUUGAACUGAGAUCUCUAUUGAUUUUGUUCUUGGACUAGGAUAAGUAAGGAUUCUAUCUUCGUAGUGGUAUAUAGAUUUUCUAAAAUGGCACAUUUCAUACCAUGUAACAAAACCGAUGAUGCAUCACAUGUAGCUAAUCUGUUCUUCAAGGAGAUUGUCUAUUUGCAUGGCAUGCAAAGGACCAUUGUGACUGAUAGAGAUACAAAGUUUUUAAGUUUCUUUUGGAAAGCAUUGUGGUCUAACCAAGGAACUAAGAUUUUUAUUUUCUACUACAUGUCAUCUGCAUAAUGAUGGGCAAACAGAAGUGGUUUAAGGAACCUUGUCUACAUUGUAGCGUGCAUUAAUUGAGAAGAACCUUAAUUCUUGAGAAGAUUGCUUACCUCAUGUAGAAUUUGCAUAUAACAAUUUUGUUCACUCUGCUUCGAAGUUUUCUCCAAUACAGAUUAUUUAUGGUUUUAACCUUUCAUCUUCUUUGGAUCUAGCCCCUUGGCCUCUAAGUGAAAAGGUAAAUUUAGAUGGGUAAAAUAAGGCUGAGCUUGUUGAACAGAUCCAUGAGAAGGCUAAAAAAAACAAAGAAGAGAAGAUGAAGCAAUAUGUUAGACAAGCCAACAAGGGCCGCCGCAAGAUGAUCUUUAAGGUUGGAGAUCUCGUGUGGGUACGUUUGAGAAAAGAUAGGUUCCCAGUAGAACGAAUCUCUAAACACAUGCCUAGAAUUGAUGGUCCUUUCGAAGUCAUAAAAAUAAUCAGCGUUGAUGUACAAGGUAAAUAUAACAUGAGUCCGAGUUUUAAUGUUGCUGAUUUAGUUCUAUUUCUUGCAAAUGAUCCAGAUUCAACACAUGGUAUUUUCAAAUAUAUGGUAAGUAGUUGAUAUCUCAACAGAGCAAUGGAAAGACAAGAUCUCUUGAUGUAUUGGAUAUGGACGACCACAAGAGCAUUCCUCAAGAUCUAAAACCUCAACAAAUGCCAUAACUUCAAGCAUUGGCUUUAAGUCCAGCCCAAGCUCCAAAGAAUAAGCCAACCAUUGCAAAUUUUGACACUCCUUGUUGUCGUGGAAUGAGAUAUGGUUAGAUUGUUUCAAAACUCUAAGUUCUUGUGGUUAGGAAUGGAGAAUCCAUAUGACCAUUUGGACUCUUUUGAGAGGUUGUGUGACACAUUUAGGAUUGGAGGAGGGCCCCAAGAUAGUAUCAAGCUCAUCUUGUUCCCAUUUUCACUUGGAGAAAAUACAUGCGCAUGGGAGAUAUCACUACCAUCUCACUUAGUCAAGUCGUGGGAUAAUUGCAAGAGGAUGUUUCUUUUAAAGUUCUAUCCCAUACAAUGAACGGUCCAAACUAGUAGAAACAUCUUGAGCUUCAAAACAAGGCAUCUAUGUGACCUUUCAUGAGGCAUGGGACAGACUUAAAGGAUAUACUAGCGAUUGUCCUCAUCAUGGGUUCAACAAGAAGCUAUCCUUAGUAUAUUGUAUUGGGGAGUUGAUAGAGAGCAUAAAUGGACAUUGGAUGUAGCUAGCAAUGGGCGUUUUGCAAAUCUCACGAUAGCACAAGGACAACUACAUGUUGAGAAUUUGGCCAAGAGUAAUAAAAGAUACAAGGAUCAUGAUAUUGAAGCUUGUCAAGAUGAUCAAGGUGAGGUGGAGCUUUGUUUUCAGCAAGAGUUUGUUCCACAAGGCCAAGUAGGUUCUUCAAAGCCUAAAGAGAUGGAAUUGAACAAAUUUUUCCAACAAAUAGACAAGAUGAGAUUAAUACAAGAGUAAAGAGUUCUUACAAAGAUCUCCACACAAAGCAUGAAUUCAUGUCUUCUAAGGUCAAACACUUGGAGAAACAAGGUUCUAAAGAAAGUUCCCUCACUAGUGAACCCAUACUAAAGGGCAAGGAACUAAAGGAUUAUUGUAAUGCUAACUUCUCAAGUAAGGUGCAUUUGUUUGAUGAGAAUGAGGAAGCUAUAAUAGAGGUUGAGAGACUUCUCCAUGGCACCAAAGAUGAGAUUCACCACUUUGAGAUGAAGUAUGUGGGAUCUUGUGAAAUGAAGGAAAGAGGAUCAGCCUCUUGAAGCUUGUGAAAAAAAAAGAAAGAACCUGAAGUAUAGCCUGAUCUUGAGUUCAUUGAUGGUUAGAAAUUCUUUAGUGAUGAUGAGGAUUGAUUGGAACUUCAAUAUUCUACACCAUAAAGAAAGAAGUUUCUUGCAAAGUGGUCCAAUAGAGAGGUGGAGGUCCUAAAGCUAAGAAGAAACCGAGCAAGGCCAAUAAGGAAAAAAAAUUUCUUGACCAAUCUUCCACUAUCAUUCUCAUUCCAUUAACUCAUCAAGAUGGAGUGAUUGAGUAUAAGAUUCAGUGUAGAGGAAGGUCUAAGCCAUUUGCAAAGGUCAAAGCAAUUCUCACUCAAGAACUCAAGGACAAAGGUGAAAAUGGUAUUGAGGAGCUUAUGAGCAAGGCAAUGAGGCUUGAGUUCAAGGAAAUCCAGGGAGUUCCACUACUCUCUCUCUCUCAUUAAAAGGAAGGUAUGAAAAGUCAAAAUUAGUGACUUAAAACAAAGUGUACUUGGAAGACAGUCCCAUGUCUAUCAUUGUAUAUACUUUCUCUUAUUGCUUUCUAGUUAAAUGUUAUGUUUUGGGGAGUCUUGAUCUUUUUGUUGAUUGUGUGCAAGGGGAUUUGAUGGUCUAAGAUUUAACACGUGGUAGAGGAAAACCAAGGCCGUGCACAACUGAUCUGUGGUGAUGCUAAGAUCCUUUGAUGCAUAGACAUCACUCCUCCUCUCCAUUAAACACUCAAGGUAACACUUUAAGACUUAUGUAUAGCAUUUAGUCUCAUUUUCUUUAGAAUUUUGUUUUUCCUCUUUCUCAUGCUUCUAUUACACAAGAGACUCUGUAAUUUGAGUGUGGGGGAGGGAUUUAGUGUUAUAUAACCAUGUUUCUUUGUGUUCUUAUUUUAUAUUCAACAUUUUGAGUCUCAUGCAUUCAUUCAUUAUACAGAAAAGAUAAAAAUUGGUAAUUUUUAAAGUUUUUUAUCAAAAAAAGAAGCAUACAGAUGCAUUUGCAUACUUAGGAUUGAGUAUAGAAUGCAUUUCAUAUAGGUUUUCAUCAUGCAUUGGGAAUAAUGGUUGAUUUUUCCUUGUAGAAUAUCAUUUUACGAAUUUGGUUCAGUGUCCUAGUUAUUAGUUGUUGAUGCAUCUAAUUGAGUUUCAAAUCAAGGAUGAACCCUAUUUGGAUCUUGUGUUUGACUUUUCUUGUCUUAGUUGAAUCAUGUUGUGAUUAGUUCCAAUCCUACUUAAGUGAAAACCUUUAAUUUGUCAUCUUAAUUAUCAGGUUUAUGCAUUUCAUAGUGAAUUCAUGGAUACCAUAUACAUAUUUGGGCUAUCUUCAUCUUGUUACAACUCUUUGUUAGCUCAAAUAGCCAAUUCCCAUCAUUGGAAUGGUUAACAACACCUUAAACCAAUCCUCCUUUCAAGCCACGAUUAGUGAGUCCAUGUAAGGCCUUAUUUUCAAGUAGAGUUGGCAAAACGUGUUGGGUCUAGAGCGAUAAAGGUUUUACAUGUAGGUUCUAGUCCAUCAUCAAUGGCUAGAUUAGGUUAGGCUAUGGGUUGGGAAGUUGUGGUUUAUGAGAAAAAUUGAUGGAGUGUGGUGUGAAAGAGAAAGAUGGGAUUGAAGUAGGGGAAUGAAUCCAAAAGAAAAAAAAUUUUGAGUUAGCAAGUGUUAAAAAAAGCUAUAAGUAUAAUAGCUAGUCUCUCGAGUUAACAAAAAGUAAAGAAAAGAAAAAGAAAGAGACUAGAAGAGUAAAUAAAAGAAAAGAGUUAAGUGUGUAAAGAAAAAGAACCUCUCAAAGUGUUAUGUGCAAGAAGAGCAUUCCCUUAAGGCCUUAGAGAUAAGAAAACAACAAAGGUUGGUUUUUAUCAAGGUAAAAAUGCCUUUGAGAAAGGGUAGCUUAGGAGAAGAAACUUCAUGGCUAGGUUUUUAAAGCAAAUGGGGUAUUGAGUCGAUGUAGGUCUAUCUUUGUAUGCAUCCAUUGCUUUUUACCCUUAGCAUUUUGCUAAAGUCUACUUCUUCUUGAGUGAUCCCUAGCUUGGAGCAACCAGUUACUUGUAUUGGGAUCAUCUUAGUCUCAAGACCAUGUCCCUAGCCAAAUGAAUUCAUUUGUCUUGCAUGAACAUGAUUCACUUGAAAACCUUUAUGAAUUUUAAUGGGUUGGGACUAGGCAUGCUUGUCUAGGCUAAUACUUGAGCUUGAUGCAUUUAUUGAUGGAUAUGGCUAGUUUCUUUUAAGUAGACUCACUUGUUUGCAUCCUAGAACUAGUAAAUUUGGACAUUGAACUUUGAAUUCUUUUAUUGAUAUUUAUGGAUAUGAGUUCACCUUUCAAACCUCUUUAUCACCUUGUUCUUGUUUGUUUUCUUGAUGAAAAGCAAAGGAUAAGUGUGGGGGAGUUGUGGAUAAAAUUUAUCAUGUUUUAUCAUUCAUUUUAGUAUAGUUUUAUGUCUAGUCCAUUCAUUUGAAAGCAUUUCUUAAUAUUUUAAUGUUAAUUGAGUUUAGAUAGGAAUGCAUUAGGUCCAAGUGUGUCUUUGCAUGUUUUGGAUUCAUUCUAGGUACUUUUGGAGAUUUAGAGUGCAUUUGGGCUUGAGAACACUUGAAGAAAUGGUGAAAAAAAUAUGAAGAAUCAGCCAAAACGUGCUCUCGGCAAAUUUCCUUUCCGGAAAAAAGUUUCCAUGGCGAAAACUGCAUCAGGCAUGUACCGCUCGGCCAAAAACCCUUCGCAAAAACACCAGUAUAUGAUUCUCUCGGCCAAAUCUUACACCAGCCGAUGUAUCUAAAAGUUCAUCUGAAACAGGCCCUUUUUACUAUGACUCAGCUUCGACGAUCUUCAUGGAAGUUGAAGGCCAGAGAGUCAUCUUUCCAAUUAAGUUGGUCUCAUGACGUUUGGAGCCUUAGAACGAAAGUUACAGCCGUUGCCGAACACAUAUGUCCUAUCGGUCCGAUUCCGUGCACAAUUUUAUAGUUUGUCAAUUACAUACAAAAAAAUCAAAGUCCAAUAAAUCUAUUUACUGUACCUGCUCCACAAGGUAUAUAUGUACUUUAUCAAAAGUUUUAUUUCUAAAAUUGUAUAUUAUUCAUUUUUAAGGUGAUUUAAUUUUGUUUUGUUUUUAUUUUUUUAUCAAAUAUAAACGCUCAUAUAUAUGUGGUCCUAAUCUAGUUUAUAAUAAUCCUUUGUCAUAAAAUUAAAUCUUUUAAUAAUUUCUCUAAAUAUAUAAAUAAUUGGAAAAAUGUGUUAUUUAAUCUGAUGUACAGACCUUCAAAAUUAUUUAAUCUCAUUGUUAGGAGAAACCAAUAUUGUACACUGUUAAAACUGUAGAUAUUUUGGUAAAAAUUGCAGUAAACCCGAGACAAAGAGGCACGAACAAAGGAGUGAAAAAAAGGAGGGGACAUGUGAUGCGAUAUAGCGAUGGGUCAUCGAGGGAAUCUUGUAUUCUUAUGAUAAUUGCCAACCAUGCUUAUUUUGGGUCUUCUCUUCUUAUUGCAGAAGUAGCCCCCAUGUUCACGUGAUCCCUUCUUCCCAUUCUUGCUCUAUAUAUUCAUAUACCCUUUCUUAUAUUUCCUCCACGUACACUUCUCAACAUGGACUCAUCCAAACUCUCAUUGCUCUCUCUCUGUCUCCUCAUUUGCAUUAUCUGUUCUCCCCAACACUCACUCUCAUGCGGUUCCUGCAACCACCAGAAGGGCGGAUUACCCUCAAUUAAACCCCCUGUCACCAUUCCCAAGCUUCCUGUUCCUCCGGUUACUGUUCCUAAGGUACCCGUUCCUCCAGUAACUGUCCCUAAUCUACCCGUUCCUCCUGUAACUGUUCCAAAGCUACCUAUUCCUCCGGUGACCGUACCUAAACUUCCAGUUACCGUACCUAAACUCCCAGUUCCUCCGGUGACAGUCCCUAAGCUACCCAUUCCGCCAGUGGCCAUUCCAAAGGUACCCGUUCCUCCAGUUACUGUCCCAAAGGUACCUGUUCCUCCUGUGACUGUCCCUGAGCUUCCACUUCCUCCAGUGGGCGGGCUACCCACAUUGCCACUACCACCAUUACCAGGGACUAUCCCACCAGCCACAGGAGGGAAGGAU
Molecule: long non-coding RNA, 7924 nt
Filed under: Eutrema salsugineum
Lineage: Eukaryota; Viridiplantae; Streptophyta; Magnoliopsida; Brassicales; Brassicaceae
Description: long non-coding RNA (ESAL_LNC001873)
Source: RNAcentral